GAGUAAAUAUUAAUAGCAAGAUAUAAGAGAAGUCCUAGUGAAAACGACUUAGUUAUAAAAUAGCUAUGGUGUAAGUUAUUAAUAUUUGACCCGAAACCUUAAGAUUUAGCCAUGGUCAGAUUAUAAGGAUCGAACAGAUGAGUGUUGCAAAACUCUCUGAUGAACUGUGGCUGGCUAAGUGAAAGACAAAUCUGUUGAGGAUA
RNAcentral lists this ribosomal RNA (203 nucleotides) under Wallemia sebi. RNAcentral's name for it is "partial large subunit ribosomal RNA". It matches the Rfam family "Bacterial large subunit ribosomal RNA", at positions 625 to 845 of the family's 2925-position model. Lineage: Eukaryota; Fungi; Basidiomycota; Wallemiomycetes; Wallemiales; Wallemiaceae. The record is from RNAcentral.